Molecule: long non-coding RNA, 272 nt
Organism: Zonotrichia leucophrys gambelii
Lineage: Eukaryota; Metazoa; Chordata; Aves; Passeriformes; Passerellidae
Exons: 3
Source: RefSeq, a predicted model, not a curated record
UUUGAAGCUCUGCAAUUUUAGGAUCUGGACCAAUUCAUGUUUCUAGAGCUGUUCUGCCUUUCUGAAGUGGUUGCUUGGCAUUAACUGCAGGUGCCUGAUCCUCAUCCACGUGCAGGUCAGGAGGGUCUCAAAAGCACCAAAAGUUUUACCUGCAGAGUCCCAGCAGUGCUGUCUCCAUCAGCGUGUGUGGCUUUAAGGACUGAUCGACCUAUUGCAUGUGUUUGCAAUAAAGAAGUAGGAAGAUUUCUGAAGCAGUUGAAAUGAGAGCACCA